RNAcentral lists this long non-coding RNA (244 nucleotides) under Amborella trichopoda. RNAcentral describes it as "long non-coding RNA (ATRI_LNC003927)". The record is from RNAcentral. Lineage: Eukaryota; Viridiplantae; Streptophyta; Magnoliopsida; Amborellales; Amborellaceae.
UAAACAGUCAACUGGACCAAGCAUCUACAUGAAGAUUUCCGGCUAUGAAAGCGUGACUCUGCCAAGAAUCCAAUUUUUAGAUUUUAAGUUUUUUUUUUUUUCUUUUCUUGUCUCUAGGUUUUACAAUUUGUAAGAAACUUGAAUGGUAAGAUUUGAAGUUAGUUUUUUUAAAUGGGAAGUUGCGUUCUUCUAUUUUAGAUUGCAAUUGAAAGGAAAUAAUUUUGGAUCUAUACAAAUAUGUAAU